Molecule: ribosomal RNA, 430 nt
Filed under: uncultured bacterium
Lineage: Bacteria
Description: partial 16S ribosomal RNA
Rfam family: Bacterial small subunit ribosomal RNA
Source: RNAcentral
CCUACGGGUGGCUGCAGUCGAGAAUCUUCGGCAAUGGGCGCAAGCCUGACCGAGCGACGCCGCGUGCGGGAUGAAGGCCUUCGGGUUGUAAACCGCUGCGAGAGAAUAUGCCGAUCCUUGGAGGAAGGGCCGGCUAAUCUCGUGCCAGCAGCCGCGGUAAUACGAGAGGCCCAAACGUUAUUCGGAUUUACUGGGCUUAAAGAGUUUGUAGGCGGUUCGGUAAGUGAGAUGUGAAAGCCCUCGGCUCAACCGAGGAAUUGCGUUUCAAACUGCCGGGCUCGAGGGAGAUAGAGGUGAGCGGAACUGAUGGUGGAGCGGUGAAAUGCGUUGAUAUCAUCAGGAACACCAGAGGCGAAGGCGGCUCACUGGGUCUUCUGACGCUGAGAAACGAAAGCUAGGGGAGCAAACGGGAUUAGAUACCCUAGUAGUC